GUUUCCGUAGGUGAACCAGCGG
Molecule: ribosomal RNA, 22 nt
Filed under: Fusarium oxysporum
Lineage: Eukaryota; Fungi; Ascomycota; Sordariomycetes; Hypocreales; Nectriaceae
Also listed under: 1 other name
Description: partial 18S ribosomal RNA
Source: RNAcentral